Molecule: ribosomal RNA, 406 nt
Filed under: uncultured bacterium
Lineage: Bacteria
Description: partial 16S ribosomal RNA
Rfam family: Bacterial small subunit ribosomal RNA
Source: RNAcentral
GAUGAACGCUAGCUACAGGCUUAACACAUGCAAGUCGAGGGACCGGCGCACGGGGGAGUAACACGUAUCCAACCUGCCCUUUACUCGGGGAUAGCCUUUCGAAAGAACGAUUAAUACCCGAUGUAAAGGAUGGGGAUGCGUUCCAUUUGGUUGUUGGUGAGGUAACGGCGCACCAAGCCUUCGAUGGUUAGGGGUUCGGAGAGGAAGGUACACCACAUCGGAGCUGAGGCCCGGUCCAAACUCGUAGGGGGCGGUGGGGUGAGGAGGAUUGGUCAAGGGGCGUUGGCCUGAACAUGCCGAGUAGCGUAAAGGAGGAAGGGGUAGUGGUCGUCAUCUUCUUUUAUAGAAGAAUCUUUAUUAUAUGAAUAAGGAUCGGCUAACUCCGUGCCAGCCGCCGCGGUAAUAC